Molecule: long non-coding RNA, 2050 nt
Organism: Passer montanus (Eurasian tree sparrow)
Lineage: Eukaryota; Metazoa; Chordata; Aves; Passeriformes; Passeridae
Exons: 3
Source: RefSeq, a predicted model, not a curated record
AGACUUCUACAUUUUCACCACUUCCACAUGCUUCCUACACUAUUUCAGGAAUAGAAAAUCCACAAAUAUCUGUAUGUAUAAUUAACUGUAAGGAUGAGACCUCACUGAUUUGACAAGAUAUUGUUCUUUCAGAUCAGGACUGGGAGAUCCUAAAAGCCUGAGCAAGGUACAUAUAUGGAAAUGAGGAUAUGAAGCAGAGCAAAGCUCUGUCAACAGAGACAGACGGAGGUGACAUACAUUGUGGAUCUUGCAUGUCAUCCUGCCUAGACUUUGGAGGAGGCUCUGCACUGAUUCAUGCCUGCAGUCAUGGAAGGACAUGCACCGUAUGAUGCUUCUUACUCUUCUAGAAAUGCACACAGAUGACAGCUCACAGAAGUUUGCAGAAGAACAGAAGAUUUCACAUAUUAACAGGCAUCAUAUAAUGUAAAUAUUCUGUUUUAAAAGAAUAAGCCAUGUGAUUAGGCAGAAAAAGAGCUCUGUGGUAUCUGAGUCUUUGAUGAAGAGCAGAGAGAUUUUAUCAGCUCUUUGAUGCAAAAUUAUCAAGGAGAGAGAUGAAACUGAAGGACAAAAUAUUAAAGUCACCUUUUGCUUAUGUUGAAAUCCCUCACCAUAAAAAAGUGGUGUACAGGUGGCAGAUUUAUAAAGCAAAAUUAUUUUUAGAAAAGGGAAUUUAAUAAAGAAAAUAUGUUAAUUGAGUUGUUUGAAAAGUGUGCAAUGGCUCAUUUAUCAGUAUAAAAAUCUCAAGUGUAUACAUGCGCGUGCAAUUUUAUUUGUCCAGGUGAAGAAUUAAUUGCCUUCAUUAUGAAGAAAAUAAUAUUACUGAGGGGAAAAUAAAUUAUGAAAUAUAGAAUGAAGCAAAAGCUCAUAGACAAUCAAAUGAAAAAUAUUUUUUGUAUCCUUUAUAUGAAUUCAAAGCAGUAUCUUUUUUCAAUGUAACAUGUCACAUCAAGCCAUAAGCAUGAUGGCCUGGGUAGCUGUUAGUUUAAAAUUGUUACUUAGUAUUUUUUUAUCCCACAGACAAAUUCUGAGUUGAUUCUUUCAGACUCUAAAUGAAGGACAAAAUCUAACCUUGAGCAAUGCCCCAUUUCUUAUGUGUUUGUUCUUUCACUCUGUUAUGUACUCAACAACAGAGGGUUUUGUUUUGCUUUGUGAUGUUUUUUGGUUUUGUAGGGGUUUAGUUUGUUGGGUUUUUUUAUCUAGGGAUAAAGACAGUCCCUAGGAAACAGAUGUCUCUCCCUUCUGUGAGAUGGAAGUAAAGGUGGCUAUAGGAUUAUAUAACCCCUUUCAGUUUGUUUGAGUUAAAAGCCAGAGGGGAGCUGUCUUUUUGUGCUUCCCUUUGCUCCCUGCUAUGGAAGGAUAGAAGGAGACAUUGUAAGUCAAGAACUGCUAACACUGCAGGCCUUUAACAGGCUAUAACAUACACUGAGUGGCAGCACUCUAUGCUCAGAAAACAGCUGUGCACACUGCUUCAAUGAGAGGGUAAAACUGCAGGACUGCCUUGUCAGCAACUAAAGGUAUCUCCUGCCUUAACAAUAUAGCCAGUGUAUUGAGAUUUCUUCAUGCCAUUCACAAAGAAUUGCAGCAGCAUGGAAUCUACUAUGCAGGAGUGUGUUAUGUGCCUGUGUGAGUUUAUGUGUCUUCUCUGCCAAAAACUUUGGAGGAAAUUCUUCAGGGAAACUCUGAGGAGGAAUAAAUAUGUCUAUCUACCUUUAACCAACAUGGCUCAGUUUUGUAACUGAUUAAUGUGGACUAAAAGAAUCUUUUUUUUUUAAUAAAGCAGCUGUGUUUAUCUUUUCUAAUGUAAUAGAUUAUAUUUCCUAGUUUAAUAGAGUGAACUCAUUAGCUAUAAAAAUGUCUAAUGCUUUAGAACUUACUGCCUUCCAUGUCUUUUCCCAUUUGUUUUAGGCAGACAUGCACGUAACACCCCUCAUCCAAAUAAAUUUAAUGUUGUGACACAAAGUGACAGAAGUAUAUAAGUCCCAAGAUAUUGCCAAGAUAUUACAUAAAAGAGGAUUACUUACAGUGUUUGGAAGCAUCAAAGGCUAACAUA